Sander lucioperca (pikeperch) is the source of this 277-nucleotide long non-coding RNA. RefSeq lists it as uncharacterized. The record is from RefSeq and is a predicted model, not a curated record. The transcript has 3 exons. NCBI's taxonomy places the organism in Eukaryota, Metazoa, Chordata, Actinopteri, Perciformes, Percidae.
GCACAGUUUUAAAGUCUUAUACAGAUAUUUAGUUAUUUAGACUGUGAUCUACAGUUAUCUAAUGGUAGGGUAGUUGAUGCUAUCCUCUAUUCCAUACAGUCAGGCCAUCUCCUCCUCCUGCGCUCUCGUAGUGGACAAUGUGACAGUGAGACAGCGCUGAUUAAACAUUAAGAGCAAAUUUUUAUUUAAGAUUUGAGUUGGAUUUUAAAAGAUGUUUAUGGAGCAAUUAUCACUCAGUACAAGCGCAAAUAGCACUGCUGGAUUUAAUCUUCAUGAU